RNAcentral lists this ribosomal RNA (253 nucleotides) under uncultured bacterium. RNAcentral describes it as "partial 16S ribosomal RNA". It matches the Rfam family "Bacterial small subunit ribosomal RNA", at positions 524 to 776 of the family's 1533-position model. The record is from RNAcentral.
UACGUAGGGGGCUAGCGUUGCUCGGAAUCACUGGGCGUAAAGCGCACGUAGGCGGUUUGUUAAGUCAGGCGUGAAAUCCUGGAGCUCAACUCCAGAACUGCCUUUGAUACUGAGAGGCUUGAGUCCGGGAGAGGUGAGUGGAACUGCGAGUGUAGAGGUGAAAUUCGUAGAUAUUCGCAAGAACACCAGUGGCGAAGGCGGCUCACUGGCCCGGUACUGACGCUGAGGUGCGAAAGCGUGGGGAGCAAACAGG